This is a long non-coding RNA of Lycium barbarum (goji berry), 646 nucleotides long. RefSeq lists it as uncharacterized. The record is from RefSeq and is a predicted model, not a curated record. Lineage: Eukaryota; Viridiplantae; Streptophyta; Magnoliopsida; Solanales; Solanaceae. The transcript is spliced from 3 exons.
CUGACGAAAAAUCUUAUAUCUUGACUUAGGAACAUCGCAAUCACGAACGGUUUGCGGCGUCGGAAAGAAGACACAUAGAGCUACGUCAUAUACGAAAACCACAAUCAAAUUGCUUCUAUAUUGGCUCAGGAACAUCGCAAUCACGAACGGUUUGCGGCGUCGGAAAGAAGACACAUAGAGCUACAUCAUAUACGAAAACCACAAUCAAAUUGCUUCUAUAUUGGCUCAGGUCUUUGGGCGCAUCUGUACGGAUUUGAAUUUAAACAAUGAUGAUGCACUUUCGUGAUCGCGAUACGCCGCGUCCUCAUCUAGAGAUAGUGAGCGACAAACGAAAUCCGAACGCCAAAGUCCUUGCCUUGGAGGUUCAACCUCCAGUGAUCGGUGCUUUCUCACUUAACGGAGAGCUUUCUACACUUCAUCUUGCUGAAUGGUCUAAAAAGGAGACCAAAGACGUCAUGAGCCACUUCUCAGGAAAGGCCACUGUUAUGGACGUCCCUCUGUUGAAGUCCGCAAUUCAUCGAGAAGUCGUGCCCACCGAAUCUUCUCAUCCCAAUGGAUGUUUCAACAACUGGAGUGUCCCGCCUUCUGGUUUCGGAAAAGUUUGCUACACACCCGGCUACUGGGAGUGGGUGGAAGAUGUGCUUCC